RNAcentral lists this ribosomal RNA (253 nucleotides) under uncultured bacterium. RNAcentral's name for it is "partial 16S ribosomal RNA". It matches the Rfam family "Bacterial small subunit ribosomal RNA", at positions 524 to 776 of the family's 1533-position model. The record is from RNAcentral.
UACGGAGGGUGCGAGCGUUAAUCGGAAUUACUGGGCGUAAAGCGCGCGGAGGCGGUUUGUUAAGUCGGAUGUGAAAUCCCCGGGCUCAACCUGGGAAUGGCAUUCGAUACUGGCCGACUAGAGUACGAGAGAGGGAGGUAGAAUUCCACGUGUAGCGGUGAAAUGCGUAGAUAUGUGGAGGAAUACCGGUGGCGAAGGCGGCCUCCUGGCUCGAUACUGACGCUGAGGUGCGAAAGCGUGGGUAGCAAACAGG